Molecule: ribosomal RNA, 467 nt
Filed under: uncultured bacterium
Lineage: Bacteria
Description: bacterial SSU rRNA
Rfam family: Bacterial small subunit ribosomal RNA
Source: RNAcentral
UCGGGAAUUUUGGGCAAUGGGCGAAAGCCUGACCCAGCAACGCCGCGUGCAGGAUGACGGUCCUAUGGAUUGUAAACUGCUUUUGUACAGGAAGAAACAGUUCUACGUGUAGAACCUUGACGGUACUGUAAGAAUAAGGAUCGGCUAACUCCGUGCCAGCAGCCGCGGUAAUACGGAGGAUCCAAGCGUUAUCCGGAAUCAUUGGGUUUAAAGGGUCCGUAGGCGGUUAGAUAAGUCAGUGGUGAAAGCCCAUCGCUCAACGGUGGAACGGCCAUUGAUACUGUCUGACUUGAAUUAUUAGGAAGUAACUAGAAUAUGUAGUGUAGCGGUGAAAUGCUUAGAGAUUACAUGGAAUACCAAUUGCGAAGGCAGGUUACUACUAAUGGAUUGACGCUGAUGGACGAAAGCGUGGGUAGCGAACAGGAUUAGAUACCCAAGUAGUCCCUGAGCGGGCUGGCAAGGCGCAU